This 483-nucleotide ribosomal RNA is filed under the name uncultured bacterium. Its description in RNAcentral is "bacterial SSU rRNA". It matches the Rfam family "Bacterial small subunit ribosomal RNA", at positions 8 to 518 of the family's 1533-position model. The record is from RNAcentral.
AGAAUUUGAUCUUGGUUCAGGAUGAACGCUGGCGGCGUGCCUAACACAUGCAAGUCGAGCGAUUCUCUUCGGAGAAGAGCGGCGGACGGGUGAGUAACGCGUGGGUAACCUGCCUCAUACACAUGGAUAACAUACCGAAAGGUAUGCUAAUACAGGAUAACAUAAGAGAUUCACAUGGAUUUCUUAUCAAAGCUCCGGCGGUAUGAGAUGGACCCGCGUCUGAUUAGCUAGUUGGUAAGGUAACGGCUUACCAAGGCGACGAUCAGUAGCCGACCUGAGAGGGUGAUCGGCCACAUUGGAACUGAGACACGGUCCAAACUCCUACGGGAGGCAGCAGUGGGGAAUAUUGCACAAUGGGCGAAAGCCUGAUGCAGCAACGCCGCGUGAGUGAUGAAGGCUUUCGGGUCGUAAAACUCUGUCCUCAAGGAAGAUAAUGACGGUACUUGAGGAGGAAGCCCCGGCUAACUACGUGCCAGCCGCCGC